UUUUAAGUAUAAGUACAUCCUGUGCAAUAUUUGGGAUAACUUAUCCUACAA
This 51-nucleotide microRNA precursor is filed under the name Marmota monax (woodchuck). Lineage: Eukaryota; Metazoa; Chordata; Mammalia; Rodentia; Sciuridae. The record is from RNAcentral.